GAGUUGUGGCUCAGUGGUAGAGUACUUGCCUAGCAUGUGUGAGGCCCUGGGUUGAUCUCAGCACCACAUACAAAUAAAUAAAAAUUUUUUUUUUUUUUUUUUUUAAUAUUUAUUUUAUUUUUUUAGUUUUCAGUGGACACAACAUCUUUGUAUGUAUGUGGUGCUGAGGAUCGAACCCGGGCCGCACGCA
This 190-nucleotide transfer RNA is filed under the name Marmota monax (woodchuck). RNAcentral's name for it is "tRNA.Ala". The record is from RNAcentral. Lineage: Eukaryota; Metazoa; Chordata; Mammalia; Rodentia; Sciuridae.